Molecule: ribosomal RNA, 293 nt
Filed under: uncultured bacterium
Lineage: Bacteria
Description: partial 16S ribosomal RNA
Rfam family: Archaeal small subunit ribosomal RNA
Source: RNAcentral
GUGCCAGCCGCCGCGGUAAUACCGGCAGCCCAAGUGAUGACCGAUCUUAUUAGGCCUAAAGCGUCCGUAGCUGGCCUCGCAAGUCCGUCGGGAAAUCCAGUAGCCCAACUACUGGGCGUCCGGCGGAAACUACAAGGCUUGGGACCGGAAGGCUCGAGGGGUACGUCCGGGGUAGGAGUGAAAUCCCAUAAUCCCGCACGGACCACCGAUGGCGAAAGCACUUCGAGAAAACGGAUCCGACAGUGAGGGACGAAAGCCAGGGUCUCCAACCGGAUUAGAAACCCCUGUAGUCC